This 468-nucleotide ribosomal RNA is filed under the name uncultured bacterium. RNAcentral's name for it is "partial 16S ribosomal RNA". It matches the Rfam family "Bacterial small subunit ribosomal RNA", at positions 28 to 507 of the family's 1533-position model. The record is from RNAcentral.
GACGAACGCUGGCGGCGUGCUUAACACAUGCCAGUCGAACGGACAGGCCCGGCUUUUGUGGGGUGGGCGAGGGGCGAACGGGUGAGUAACACGUGAGUAACCUGUCCUUGACUUUGGGAUAACUUCAGGAAACUGGGGCUAAUACCGGGUAGGAGCUCCUGCUGCAUGGGGGGGGUGGGAAAGAUUCGGCGUUUGGGGAGGGACUCGCUGCGUAUCAGCUUGAUUAGGUGGUAGUGGCUGAGCAAGGCUUGGACGGGUAGGAGGGCUGGGCGGGUGACCUGCCCCAUCGGGCCUGAGCUGCGGCACAGCCUCCUACGCGACGGAGCAGUGCGGAAGAGUGCAUUAUGGACGGAGCGAUAGUGUAGCACCGCCGCGUGGCGUAAGACGGCCUUCGGGUUGUAAACCGCUUUUGUUUGUCACGAAGCGUGAGUGACGGUAAUGGGUAAAGAAGCCCCGGCUAACUACGUG